AUGAAGUUCUUUUUAAGCCGUGAGGUUUUUAGAGAAUCACUGCUUUUCAUCAUUCCUGCUUUUGGUGGCACUGUUUCUUGGGAAGGAGAUGAGACACCAUUUAAGGAAUCCGAUGAAACCAUUACUCAUCAGAUUGUUGACAAGUCAACUACUUACAAGUUCCUCUCUAGAGACUAUGUUCAGCCACAAUGGGUUUUUGAUUGUGUUAAUACAUGAAUCAUCUUGCCAACCGAUGUUUAUUUG
This is a non-coding RNA of Benincasa hispida (wax gourd), 243 nucleotides long. The record is from RefSeq and is a predicted model, not a curated record. Lineage: Eukaryota; Viridiplantae; Streptophyta; Magnoliopsida; Cucurbitales; Cucurbitaceae.